RNAcentral lists this unclassified non-coding RNA (220 nucleotides) under Hevea brasiliensis (rubber tree). Lineage: Eukaryota; Viridiplantae; Streptophyta; Magnoliopsida; Malpighiales; Euphorbiaceae. The record is from RNAcentral.
AUCACACAUAAGCUUGGUUCCUUCUACCUGUAAAUGACCGAUCUCUUUGAGUAUUCUUCUCAUCCAAACAGCUUGACAUGCACAUGCAGCAGCGGCAACAAACUCCGCUUCUGUAGUUGAUAAGGUGACUAUAGGUUGCUUUCUAGAUGACAAUGCCACUGCUCCUUCACUCAUCAUAAACACAUAGCCUGAAGUACUUUUGUUGUCUUCCAUAUCGCCG